AAUGUUCAUGAAAAAUUCUCUUUGCAUUAUAGGUAUAUUCUACAAAGAGCAGCAGAAUUGGUAAUUCCGAGCAGGUGGCUCCCAAGUUCAGCCCUGCUCAGUGACAGCUCUGUAAAAAGAAAAAAAAAAGGUUUGGGGCUGACAUCCACUGCUCACCUGCAGGUGCAUAAAGUCUAAAUGAAGAAGAAUAAACAAGCAGGGGUGAGAAAGCCUGGGAACUAUGAAUGCAAACUCCUGCUGAAGGCACAGAGGGAAUUUAGCAAAAAGAAGCAAAGGCUUAUGCCAUAUUUAUGUUCCCUACAAUCAAAUCCCACUCCCUGAAAAUGCACUGUUGAGCUUCAUAGCUAGCUACUCCUCAGGGGGACACCCUCCUUCCUUAAGAAGGUGACCUCUUGCUUACUCUCCACCAGUGUUGGUGACAUUUUUCCUACUGAUAUUAGCAACGGCUUAGAUAAUUCUAGAAACUCCUCUGCCUCUCAUUUUUUAUGACCUUCCUGUUUCCAUGGUCUUGUUGUAGAGAGCAGACUGUCCUGUUCUGCUACUCCAUGAUGUGUAAGGGGCACUUUUAAGGCUGUGCCUAAAUCUGAGUUUCUCCAUUUUUUAAAGCAGUGGUUUACCGGAGAGACUCCAUUUUGAGUACUAGAGCCAAGGAAGAAUGAUUUUACAAGUAAAUGAGCCCCACCUGACCAGCACAACUAUAGGGCACAAGCUGAUAAGUAACUCAGAUGUGCCAACCUGUCAAACUGAAUUUGGAGUACCUGGACAUGUUGAUAUCCCACAACAUAUCAGGAACACUAUGCACACGAGUUUAUCAGCCUCACUGGAUGUAAGCCUCUUACCUAAGACCUGUAGAAGGAGUUGAUAGGACAAUAUCCUCAUUCAGUCUCCUGGUCAUGUGCUAAGAGCCUUGCCCAGGAAAAGUGUCCCAGUGAUGAACCUCUGAGUUCCUGUCCCAUGGGACUUCAGCAGAGCAUGGUUUCUUCUACCUGUGACAACAAUAAGUGGUUCAGUCUACCCUGACCCUUCAAGUUGACACUCCAAGCUAACACUGAGACUGGAACUGUUGUCCAUCCAGACCCUCUGCCUUGACAACCCUGUAGAACUUGUUUGUUAACCACCUCCAGUUGCCUAUUUGACCACCUACAGUGACUCUUUGACUCUGAAUUCAUAUCUCUCAUUGCCUGUGUUCUGGACACAGUAUCCUGUAAACUGGAGGCCACCUAAACCACUUCUAGGUCUUUCUAUGGUGCAUAUGAUAUUUAUUUAUUUAUUUAUUUAUUUUUUUAUAUUUAUUUUUCCUCCUGUGAAGUACUACAUGUAACUUGAGUGUCUUAAAUAUUAAAAAUUAAGAUUAGAAUGGAAUAGGAAAAAUUGUGGUUGUUUAGCUUAAGACUAUCAGGUAACCUAUGAAUGUUUGGGGAGCUGCCAUCAGUAAAAGUGGCAUAGCUUAUGAAUUUAUUGUUAUUCAAUGAAUUCUGACAUUGUG
This 1486-nucleotide long non-coding RNA is filed under the name Marmota monax (woodchuck). The record is from RNAcentral. Lineage: Eukaryota; Metazoa; Chordata; Mammalia; Rodentia; Sciuridae.